GGAAGGGUGACCGAGCGGCUUAAGGUGGCGGUCUUGAAAACCGUUGUGCGGCAACGCACCAGGGGUUCGAAUCCUCUCCCUUCCG
RNAcentral lists this transfer RNA (85 nucleotides) under Planctomycetes bacterium HGW-Planctomycetes-1. RNAcentral's name for it is "tRNA-Ser". It matches the Rfam family "tRNA". Rfam says of the family: Transfer RNA (tRNA) molecules are approximately 80 nucleotides in length. The record is from RNAcentral. RNAcentral also lists the same sequence under 1 other name. Lineage: Bacteria; Pseudomonadati; Planctomycetota.